AAAAGUGCAUUUUUAUCAAGGUUUCAUAUCAUCAUUUUGCACUUGAAGUAUUAAUAACUCCUUAACUAGAGCAUGUUUUAUAAUAAUAGAUCUGAUAAUAUAAGAUAGCUUUAAUUUAUGGUAAAUGUUCAUUUUAAAUGCAGGCAUAUCUCACAAUUCAAAGGAUUGAUUGAUGUGAUUAACUAUUGAAAGUGAAAGGACAAAGAAACGGCUAAGAUUAGAAAGGAGGUACCGAUUCAAUUCAAAUUGGAACACUGUUCAGUUAUUGGGUCAUAUCUGGAGCUGUAGAUCUUGGAUUUCAGCUUAAUUUAUAUGGAUGGAAAGCUAAGAAAUAGGCCUACAUUGUUCAUGAAUAGUGUAAGACCCAAAUCUGCCGUUUUCAAAUUCAAAGUUUGGCCACAAAAGAGAAGUCAGAAUCUGUCCUGUAAUCCAGCCCAAACACUGCUUAGAAUUUUACCCAUAUCUGGAGUUCUAGAAGGCCAAAUGACGUGAAAUUUGGUGGGUGGAAGGAAAAGACCAUUUCCAACAACUUUCAUGACGAAUGUUUUCUCAAAUUCGGAUGGUAACAAUGAUAUUUUGUCCAGACAAGAGCUUGAGGUCUAUCCACCACGUCUACCAACAGCACUACUCAGUAUUUUAGCCAUAUCUCGAGCUCUAGUGAUCCAAAUGCUCUGAAACUUUAUGGGUCAAAAGAUAAGAUGAUUGCCAACAACUUUCAUGAGGAACACUUUGCCAAAUUCUGAAUGGAUCAAUGUCAUUUCAUCCAGCCAAAGUGCUUGAGUGCUGCUGUCCACCAAGUCCACUAAAUCAAUAGUUGGCCACUACAUCAAUAAUCAAUUACCAAAUGAAUAGUUCUGAAUUUUAGCCUAUAAAGGAGGCAUUUGCCAUUCAUUUAAAAAGCUUGGUUCUAAGAUCAAGAUCAUGUUCUUGCUCUCUCUUUAUUGUUGUAAUGCUUAAGUUUUAUUUUCAUUAA
Long non-coding RNA from Populus trichocarpa (black cottonwood), 973 nucleotides. RefSeq lists it as uncharacterized. The transcript is spliced from 2 exons. NCBI's taxonomy places the organism in Eukaryota, Viridiplantae, Streptophyta, Magnoliopsida, Malpighiales, Salicaceae. The record is from RefSeq and is a predicted model, not a curated record.